CACCGCCUGUCGCUACUAUCGAUUGAAUGUGUUAGUGAGACCAUUGGAGUGGCCUUCGAAGCUUUCGCAAGACGGCCUCAAAUGGUUGCAAAGACGUCCAAACUGAUUCAUUUAGAGGAAGUAAAAGUCGUAACAAGAUUUCCGUAGAUGAACCUGCGGAAG
This 162-nucleotide non-coding RNA is filed under the name Hypsibius dujardini. Its description in RNAcentral is "Eukaryotic small subunit ribosomal RNA". It matches the Rfam family "Eukaryotic small subunit ribosomal RNA", at positions 1667 to 1823 of the family's 1831-position model. Lineage: Eukaryota; Metazoa; Tardigrada; Eutardigrada; Parachela; Hypsibiidae. The record is from Rfam by way of RNAcentral.